Molecule: ribosomal RNA, 253 nt
Filed under: uncultured bacterium
Lineage: Bacteria
Description: partial 16S ribosomal RNA
Rfam family: Bacterial small subunit ribosomal RNA
Source: RNAcentral
UACGUAGGGGGCAAGCGUUAUCCGGAUUUACUGGGUGUAAAGGGAGCGUAGACGGUAUGGCAAGUCUGAAGUGAAAGCCCCGGGCUCAACCUGGGAAUUGCUUUGGAAACUGUUAAACUAGAGUGCUGGAGAGGCAGGCGGAAUUCCUAGUGUAGCGGUGAAAUGCGUAGAUAUUAGGAGGAACACCAGUGGCGAAGGCGGCCUGCUGGACAGUAACUGACGUUGAGGCUCGAAAGCGUGGGGAGCAAACAGG